RNAcentral lists this ribosomal RNA (433 nucleotides) under uncultured bacterium. RNAcentral describes it as "partial 16S ribosomal RNA". It matches the Rfam family "Bacterial small subunit ribosomal RNA", at positions 29 to 507 of the family's 1533-position model. The record is from RNAcentral.
AACGAACGCUGGCGGCAUGCCUAACACAUGCAAGUCGAACGAGACCUUCGGGUCUAGUUGCGCACGGGUGCGUAACGCGUGGGAACCUGCCCUUAGGUUCGGAAUAACUCCCCGAAAGGGGUGCUAAUACCGGAUAAUGUCUUCGGACCAAAGAUUUAUCGCCUUUGGAUGGGCCCGCGUUGGAUUAGCUAGUUGGUAGGGUAAAAGCCUACCAAGGCUACGAUCCAUAGCUGGUCUGAGAGGAUGAUCAGCCACACUGGGACUGAGACACGGCCCAGACUCCUACGGGAGGCAGAAGUGGGGAAUAUUGGACAAUGGGCGAAAGCCUGAUCCAGCAAUGCCGCGUGAGUGAUGAAGGCCUUAGGGUUGUAAAGCUCUUUUACCCGGGAUGAUAAUGACAGUACCGGGAGAAUAAGCUCCGGCUAACUCCGUG